This 778-nucleotide ribosomal RNA is filed under the name uncultured bacterium. RNAcentral describes it as "bacterial SSU rRNA". It matches the Rfam family "Bacterial small subunit ribosomal RNA", at positions 20 to 787 of the family's 1533-position model. The record is from RNAcentral.
UGGCUCAGAUUGAACGCUGGCGGCAGGCUUAACACAUGCAAGUCGAACGGUAACAUAAAGAAGCUUGCUUCUUUGAUGACGAGUGGCGGACGGGUGAGUAAUGCUUGGGAAUCUAGCUUAUGGAGGGGGAUAACUACGGGAAACUGUAGCUAAUACCGCGUAGAAUCGAGAGAUGAAAGUGUGGGACCUUCGGGCCACAUGCCAUAGGAUGAGCCCAAGUGGGAUUAGGUAGUUGGCGAGGUAAAGGCUCACCAAGCCGACGAUCUCUAGCUGGUCUGAGAGGAUGACCAGCCACACUGGGACUGAGACACGGCCCAGACUCCUACGGGAGGCAGCAGUGGGGAAUCUUCGGCAAUGGGGGGAACCCUGACCGAGCAACGCCGCGUGAGUGAAGAAGGUUUUCGGAUCGUAAAGCUCUGUUGUAAGAGAAGAACGAGUGUGAGAGUGGAAAGUUCACACUGUGACGGUAUCUUACCAGAAAGGGACGGCUAACUACGUGCCAGCAGCCGCGGUAAUACGUAGGUGGCAAGCGUUGUCCGGAAUUAUUGGGCGUAAAGCGCGCGCAGGCGGAUCAGUCAGUCUGUCUUAAAAGUUCGGGGCUUAACCCCGUGAUGGGAUGGAAACUGCUGAUCUAGAGUAUCGGAGAGGAAAGUGGAAUUCCUAGUGUAGCGGUGAAAUGCGUAGAUAUUAGGAAGAACACCAGUGGCGAAAGCGACUUUCUGGACGAAAACUGACGCUGAGGCGCGAAAGCCAGGGGAGCGAACGGGAUUAGAUACCC